UGGGGAAUCUUCCGCAAUGGGCGAAAGCCUGACGGAGCGACGCCGCGUGGGGGACGAAGGCCUUCGGGUCGUAAACCCCUGUCAGAGGGAAAGAAGGGUAUCGGUGUAAAUAGCGCCGAUAUUUGACGGUACCCUCAGAGGAAGCCACGGCCAACUCCGUGCCAGCAGCCGCGGUAAUACGGAGGUGGCAAGCGUUGCUCGGAAUCACUGGGCGUAAAGGGCGCGUAGGCGGGGAGGUAAGUCGGGUGUGAAAUCCCUCGGCCCAACCGAGGAACUGCGCCCGAGACUGCUUCUCUUGAGUCCCGGAGAGGAAGAUGGAAUUCCCGGUGUAGCGGUGAAAUGUGUAGAGAUCGGGAGGAACACCGGUGGCGAAGGCGGUCUUCUGGACGGUGACUGACGCUGAGGCGCGAAAGCGUGGGGAGCAAACGGGAUUAGAUACCCCCGUAGUCC
RNAcentral lists this ribosomal RNA (450 nucleotides) under uncultured bacterium. RNAcentral describes it as "bacterial SSU rRNA". It matches the Rfam family "Bacterial small subunit ribosomal RNA", at positions 355 to 796 of the family's 1533-position model. The record is from RNAcentral.